Molecule: non-coding RNA, 48 nt
Organism: Schistosoma rodhaini
Lineage: Eukaryota; Metazoa; Platyhelminthes; Trematoda; Strigeidida; Schistosomatidae
Source: Rfam
AUCCAGCUGACGAGUCCCAAAUAGGACGAAACGCGCGUCAAAAUGGAU